Molecule: transfer RNA, 71 nt
Filed under: Rhipicephalus sanguineus (brown dog tick)
Lineage: Eukaryota; Metazoa; Arthropoda; Arachnida; Ixodida; Ixodidae
Description: transfer RNA glycine (anticodon GCC)
Rfam family: tRNA
About the family: Transfer RNA (tRNA) molecules are approximately 80 nucleotides in length. Their secondary structure includes four short double-helical elements and three loops (D, anti-codon, and T loops).
Source: Rfam by way of RNAcentral
GCGUCGGUGGUUCAGUGGUAGAAUACUCGCCUGCCACGCGGGUGGCCCGGGUUCGGUUCCCGGCCGACGCA